GCCUGGGUGGCUCAGUGGUUGAGCGUCUGCCUUCAGCUCAGAGUGUGAUCACGGGGUCCUGGGAUCGAGUCCCACAUCGGGCU
Molecule: transfer RNA, 83 nt
Filed under: Canis lupus familiaris (dog)
Lineage: Eukaryota; Metazoa; Chordata; Mammalia; Carnivora; Canidae
Also listed under: 1 other name
Rfam family: tRNA
About the family: Transfer RNA (tRNA) molecules are approximately 80 nucleotides in length. Their secondary structure includes four short double-helical elements and three loops (D, anti-codon, and T loops).
Source: Rfam by way of RNAcentral